UACGGGGGGGGUAAGCGUUGUUCGGAAUUACUGGGCGUAAAGCGCACGUAGGCGGCUUGGUAUGUCGGGUGUGAAAUCCCCGGGCUCAACCUGGGAACUGCAUCCGAAACUGCCUUGCUAGAGUAUGGGAGAGGGAAGUGGAAUUUCCGGUGUAGCGGUGAAAUGCGUAGAUAUCGGAAGGAACAUCAGUGGCGAAGGCGACUUCCUGGACCAAUACUGACGCUCAGGUGCGAAAGCGUGGGGAGCAAACAGG
RNAcentral lists this ribosomal RNA (253 nucleotides) under uncultured bacterium. RNAcentral describes it as "partial 16S ribosomal RNA". It matches the Rfam family "Bacterial small subunit ribosomal RNA", at positions 524 to 776 of the family's 1533-position model. The record is from RNAcentral.